UACGUAGGGUCCAAGCGUUAAUCGGAAUUACUGGGCGUAAAGGGUGCGUAGGUGGUCGAGUAAGUCUGAUGUGAAAUCUUCGAGCUCAACCCGAAAAUGGCAUUGGAUACUAUUCGGCUGGAGGGUUGGAAGGGGGACUGGAAUUCUCGGUGUAGCAGUGAAAUGCGUAGAUAUCGAGAGGAACACCGGUGGCGAAGGCGAGUCCCUGGACAAUCCCUGACACUGAGGCACGAAAGCUAGGGGAGCAAACAGG
RNAcentral lists this ribosomal RNA (253 nucleotides) under uncultured bacterium. RNAcentral's name for it is "partial 16S ribosomal RNA". It matches the Rfam family "Bacterial small subunit ribosomal RNA", at positions 524 to 776 of the family's 1533-position model. The record is from RNAcentral.